Erpetoichthys calabaricus (reedfish) is the source of this 307-nucleotide long non-coding RNA. RefSeq lists it as uncharacterized. The transcript has 2 exons. NCBI's taxonomy places the organism in Eukaryota, Metazoa, Chordata, Cladistia, Polypteriformes, Polypteridae. The record is from RefSeq and is a predicted model, not a curated record.
AGGGGUGCCCACACUUUUUCGGCUUGCGAGCUACUUUUAAAAUGACCAGGUCGAAAUGAUCUACCUACAUUAAAAAUGCUAUAUAUAUAUAUAUAUUUUCCCUCUCCUUUCUCUUUCUCAGAUCUCUUUUCGGAAGGAAGUCAGUUUCGUUGUUUUUAUGAACAGUUCGAAGUGCCUUUCCACAUUUUCCUUCUUUGGAAUAUCAAUGAUAGAUUGACAGAUCAGACAAACGCACUUCGAUUGUGACAUUGUGAGAGAAAAAAAUCCUCUUCCAAUUCCACAUCCAGCCCAUACCCUCCCCAAACAA